AAGCCAUAGAAAGUGAUAGCCUUGUAUGCGACAAGGCGUUCUUAGGUAGCAGGAUCCAGAGUAGGCCAGGACACGAGGAAUCCAGGUUGAAGCCGGGGAGACCACUCUCCAACCCUAAAUACUACUCUUUGAGCGAUAGCGAACAAGUACCGUGAGGGAAAGGUGAAAAGAACCGCAGUGAGCGGAGUGAAAUAGAACCUGAAACCAUCUGCUUACAAUCAUUCAGAGCCCUAUGAUUUAUCAGGGUGAUGGACUGCCUUUUGCAUAAUGAUCCUGCGAGUUGUGGUAUCUGGCAAGGUUAAGCGAAUGCGAAGCCGUAGCGAAAGCGAGUCUUAAUAGGGCGAACAAGUCAGAUGCUGCAGACCCGAAGCUAAGUGAUCUAUCCAUGGCCAAGUUGAAACGCGUGUAAUAGCGCGUGGAGGACUGAACUCGUACCCAUUGAAACGGGUUGGGAUGAGCUGUGGAUAGGGGUGAAAGGCCAAACAAACUUAGUGAUAGCUGGUUCUCUUCGAAAUAUAUUUAGGUAUAGCCUCAAGUGAUAAUAAAAGGGGGUAGAGCGCUGAUUGGGCUAGGGCUGCUCGCCGCGGUACCAAACCCUAUCAAACUCCGAAUACCUUUUAUCGUAUCUUGGGAGUCAGGCGGUGGGUGAUAAAAUCAAUCGUCAAAAGGGGAACAACCCAGACUACCAAAUAAGGUCCCUAAGUUCUAUUCUGAGUGGAAAAAGAUGUGUGGCUACUCAAACAACCAGGAGGUUGGCUUAGAAGCAGCCAUCCUUUAAAGAAAGCGUAACAGCUCACUGGUCUAGUGGUCAUGCGCUGAAAAUAUAACGGGGCUAAGAUAGACACCGAAUUUGUAGAUUGUGUUAAACACAGUGGUAGAAGAGCGUUCAUACCAGCGUUGAAGGUAUACCGGUAAGGAGUGCUGGAGCGGUAUGAAGUGAGCAUGCAGGAAUGAGUAACGAUAAGAUAUAUGAGAAUUGUAUCCGCCGUAAAUCUAAGGUUUCCUACGCGAUGGUCGUCAUCGUAGGGUUAGUCGGGUCCUAAGCCGAGUCCGAAAGGGGUAGGUGAUGGCAAAUUGGUUAAUAUUCCAAUACCGACUAUGGAGCGUGAUGGGGGGACGCAUAGGGUUAAGCGAGCUAGCUGAUGGAAGCGCUAGUCUAAGGGCGUAGAUUGGAGGGAAGGCAAAUCCACCUCUGUAUUUGAAACCCAAACAGGCUCUUUGAGUCCUUUUAGGACAAAGGGAGAAUCGCUGAUACCGUCGUGCCAAGAAAAGCCUCUAAGCAUAUCCAUAGUCGUCCGUACCGCAAACCGACACAGGUAGAUGAGAUGAGUAUUCUAAGGCGCGUGAAAGAACUCUGGUUAAGGAACUCUGCAAACUAGCACCGUAAGUUCGCGAUAAGGUGUGCCGCAGCAAUGCGGUCUCAGCAAAGAGUCCCUCCCGACUGUUUACCAAAAACACAGCACUUUGCCAACUCGUAAGAGGAAGUAUAAGGUGUGACGCCUGCCCGGUGCUCGAAGGUUAAGAGGAUGCGUCAGUCGCAAGAUGAAGCGUUGAAUUGAAGCCCGAGUAAACGGCGGCCGUAACUAUAACGGUCCUAAGGUAGCGAAAUUCCUUGUCGGUUAAAUACCGACCUGCAUGAAUGGCGUAACGAGAUGGGAGCUGUCUCAACCAGAGAUUCAGUGAAAUUGUAGUGGAGGUGAAAAUUCCUCCUACCCGCGGCAAGACGGAAAGACCCCGUGGACCUUUACUACAACUUAGCACUGCUAAUGGGAAUAUCAUGCGCAGGAUAGGUGGGAGGCUUUGAAGUAAGGGCUUUGGCUCUUAUGGAGCCAUCCUUGAGAUACCACCCUUGAUGUUUCUGUUAGCUAACUGGCCUGUGUUAUCCACAGGCAGGACAAUGCUUGGUGGGUAGUUUGACUGGGGCGGUCGCCUCCUAAAAAG
RNAcentral lists this ribosomal RNA (1941 nucleotides) under Helicobacter pylori. RNAcentral describes it as "bacterial LSU rRNA". It matches the Rfam family "Bacterial large subunit ribosomal RNA", at positions 352 to 2297 of the family's 2925-position model. Lineage: Bacteria; Pseudomonadati; Campylobacterota; Epsilonproteobacteria; Campylobacterales; Helicobacteraceae. The record is from RNAcentral.